GUGGGCCGGCUCGCGCGGCGGCCGUGGGGCUUCUGCGGGGUACCCGGGAAGGGGCGCAGAUUAACAGAUGUGCAUGAGGAGGUGCCUGGUCGGCCUCACGUUUUGUACCUGCUACCUGGCUUCUUACCUCACGAACAAGUAUGUCCUGUCUGUCUUGAAAUUUACCUACCCUACAUUAUUCCAAGGGUGGCAGACAUUAAUUGGUGGACUUUUGCUUCAUGUGUCAUGGAAACUGGGCUGGGCGGAGAUCAACAGCAAUUCAAGAUCUGAUGUUUUGACAUGGCUUCCUGCUUCAGUGCUGUUUGUGGGUAUCAUCUAUGCUGGUUCCAGAGCACUGUCCAGACUGGCCAUUCCUGUGUUUCUCACUUUGCAUAAUGUAGCCGAAGUUAUAAUCUGUGGGCACCAGAAGUGUUUUCAGAAAGAGAAAACAUCUCCUGCGAAGAUCUGUAGUGCCCUCUUUCUCCUGGCUGCCGCAGGGUGCCUGCCCUUCAACGACUCCCAGUUUGAUCCAGAUGGUUAUUUCUGGGCUAUAAUUCACUUAUUCUGCAUAGGGGCUUAUAAGAUACUACAGAAAUCCCAGAAAUCCAACGCGUUAAGUGACAUUGACCAGCAGUACUUAAACUAUCUAUUCAGCGUGGUGCUCCUGGCGUUUGCAUCUCACCCCACAGGUGAUCUCCUCAGCGUCCUGGACUUUCCGUUCCUGUAUUUCUACAGAUUCCAUGGCAGCUGCUGUGCCAGUGGAUUUUUAGGAUUCUUUCUCAUGGUCAGCACAGUGAAGCUAAAAAGCCUUAUGACCCCAGGGCAGUGUGCAGCCUGGAUUUUCUUUGCUAAGGUGAUCACGGCUGGUUUAUCGAUAUUGCUGUUUGAUAUGAUCCUGACCAGGGCCACCGUGGGAUGCCUCCUGCUCGGCGGCCUUGGAGAGGCCUUGCUGGUUUUCUCAGAGCGGAAGGGCUCCUAAACACAGAGAAAGUGGACUCCCAGGCUGCAGGUGGAGAACACCGCCCUGGGCUUUGGAGCUCCCUGUCCCGGAGAUAGAAAGAAGAAAGCAAGAACGAUGAGACACUGCUGCUCGCUGCGUCGAGGAGAACUUCUUCUGGGGUCUCUGGGCCGCUGCAGAGAGUGGACUGUGUCGAGAGGCUCCCCCAAGUCCUGCUGACUGUGCUGUGAGCCCAGCUGUGCAGAAACAGAUGCAGGAUUUCACCUGUAUGGGGAUGGCUCCGCCCACCUUGAUUGCCACGCAAGCCUCCUUACUAAACACCCUUCCCAGAUAAGCGUUCACUGCCUGCUAGUGGGCCCAAGCUCUGACUUGCUUGCUGCCAGUAGGAGGUGAUAGAAGCUAUGAUCCCAGACUUCCAAGGCCAGGUUGAAAGCCUUGCAGCGCCUGCUUUGAUCUUCUGGAACGGCCUUUGGGAGUCCUGAGCUGCCUUGUAGAAGUCUGACUCCCCUGAGGCGGCUGUGCUGGAGAGACCAGGUAUAGGAGCCCUGUAGACAGUCGCUGCUGCACCCAGCCUUCUCACCACCCCACCAGGCUACCAGACAUGUGAGGGGAGCUGCCCUGGACCUUCUAGGACCAGCCCAUCUGCCAGCUGAGUGCCGUCAAGUGAUCUCAGUCAAUGCCACGUGGUGCAGAAGCAUCAGAGCCUGCAUGAAUGCCUGACCACAAAAUCAUGAGCUACAGCAAAAUUGUUUGAAGCCACUAAGUUUUGGGCAAACUUGUUAUACGACAGAGAGCCUCGAAUUCCCUUCGUCUCAGGUGGAUCCAAUCUGAGCACUCUGAGACCCUCCCCUCAAUAGACUUGUUCCAGGAGAACCAGUCUGCUCCAGCUGCCUUCCGCCCUGGAGCUGCCUGGAGAAGGGGGCCCCCGCCGCGUGUCCAGGGCUUUCCCAGACCCCCAUUACAGGGCAGGAUCUGUGCCUUUGGGUCAUAGAACCUCAUUCACUCAUUCAUUCAUUCAAAAAAUACCGAGAACCCACUAUGUGCCAGGCUCUGUUUUGGGCUUGUGGAUAUAUCUGUAAAUAAGAUGAGUCGCCCUGAAGCUUACUUUCUAGGGGUGGAGACAGACGAUAAACAAGUAAAUAAUGGAAUUUCAG
This is an RNA transcript of Lagenorhynchus albirostris (white-beaked dolphin), 2091 nucleotides long. It is a transcript of the gene named transmembrane protein 241, with no coding region annotated. The record is from RefSeq and is a predicted model, not a curated record. The transcript has 16 exons. NCBI's taxonomy places the organism in Eukaryota, Metazoa, Chordata, Mammalia, Artiodactyla, Delphinidae.